UUCCGGUUGAUCCUGCCGGACCCCACUGCUAUCGAGGUGGGACUAAGCCAUGCUAGUUGAGCGCACAGAACUAUGUCUGUGAGCGGCACACUGCUCAGUAACACGUAGCUAACCUACCCUUAGGACGUGGACAACCCCGAGAAAUUGGGGCUAAUCCGCGAUAGAUGUAAUGUCCUGGAAUGGUAUUACGUCCAAAGGUAUCCCAUACGUGUUUGGUAUACGCCUAAGGAUGGGGCUGCGGCCGAUCAGGCUGUUGGUGAGGUAAUGGCUCACCAAACCUUUGACCGGUACGGGCCAUGAGAGUGGUAGCCCGGAGAUGGACACUGAGACAAGGGUCCAGGCCCUACGGGGCGCAGCAGGCGCGAAACCUCCUCAAUGCACUUACGUGCGAAGGGGCUACCUCGAGUGCCACCUGAUGAAGGUGGCUUUUCCUAGGUCUAAAAGCCUUGGGAAUAAGAGGGGGCAAGACUGGUGUCAGCCGCCGCGGUAACACCAGCCCCUCGAGUGGUGGGGAUGAUUAUUGGGCCUAAAGCGUCCGUAGCCUGCCGUAUAAGUUUCCCGUUAAAUCCAGCGUCUCAAGCGUUGGACUGCGGGAAAUACUGUACGGCUAGAGAGUGGGAGAGGUCAGCGGUAUUCUGGGGGUAGGGGCGAAAUCCUUUGAUCCCCGGAGGACCACCAGUGGCGAAGGCUGCUGACUAGAACACGUCUGACGGUCAGGGACGAAAGCUGGGGUAGCGAACCGGAUUAGAUACCCGGGUAGUCCCAGCCGUAAACGAUGCAUGCUAGGUGUUGGGUUGGCCACGAGCCACCCCAGUGCCGCAGGGAAGCCGUUAAGCAUGCCGCCUGGGAAGUACGAUCGCAAGGUUGAAACUUAAAGGAAUUGGCGGGGGAGCACCACCAGGCGUGAAGCCUGCGGUUUAAUUGGAGUCAACGCCGGAA
Molecule: ribosomal RNA, 939 nt
Filed under: uncultured crenarchaeote
Lineage: Archaea; Thermoproteati; Thermoproteota
Description: bacterial SSU rRNA
Rfam family: Archaeal small subunit ribosomal RNA
Source: RNAcentral